RNAcentral lists this long non-coding RNA (250 nucleotides) under Brassica rapa (field mustard). RNAcentral's name for it is "long non-coding RNA (BRAP_LNC008753)". Lineage: Eukaryota; Viridiplantae; Streptophyta; Magnoliopsida; Brassicales; Brassicaceae. The record is from RNAcentral.
AAUGAUCUCCUGGUCGCCAAUUUCUGGUUUGAAGCUGAUUGAACCGGUUAGCUUCCAAUUGAGGCGAGUGUAGCACUGGUUUGACCGGUUCUGGCAAAUUGAACAUAUCUUCUGAUUUCCGUGUCCAUUUCUCCUGAUCUUUGGCUUUCUGGAAAGCUGAAAGAAUGCUCUUGAAUUUUAUGACGGUCUUUGCUUCAGGCCGCUCCUUACUUGAGCUUAAAUCUCCUUCUAAAGUCGGAUACUCGCAGAU